Nerophis ophidion (straightnose pipefish) is the source of this 352-nucleotide long non-coding RNA. RefSeq lists it as uncharacterized. The record is from RefSeq and is a predicted model, not a curated record. Lineage: Eukaryota; Metazoa; Chordata; Actinopteri; Syngnathiformes; Syngnathidae. The transcript is spliced from 3 exons.
AACAACCCGCCAGUGAGGAAAAAGUAUGCCAAAAAUAUUUUCAUUCGGGGAUUAAAACUACGAGUUGGUCAACAAAAAACGAUUUCCAGUAUGCAAAGAAUGCGGUUGGAAGAUUACAGACGGAGACGCAACAACUUCCUACUUCGUUUGACAUUUCAAGAUGCACAAUGAAGGGAACUCGCAUGGCUGCCGUUCUCGUGACCCCAAGAUGCAGGAACCAGGAGAAAGAAGAGAAGGCCCAUUAAGGAGGAUAAGGACUCCCCGGAGACGGUCCUCGGUCUGUGCUCGCCCCGUCACGUUUUGCACCGCCGUCGCCAUGGUGACCAUGGGUGGAUGUGUAGUUGCUACAGAG